AAAUACUGUGGGGAGAAAGAAUAGCCUCAGGGCUUGGAUGCCAGACCUGAGCCCCUGAGAGAGCUGUGGGGGAGGGUCUCGACCUACUCCCUCCGCUCAGCGCUCCUCACUCUCAAAGGAGCCUCGGUCCAGGUCCACUUUGAACUUUAAGCCAAAGCAAUAGCUCCGUUUCAAGGUGUAACUGUAUUAUCCCUUCUCAUAAAGAUCUCUUGUGAUAAUUGUUCUCCCAUCACGGAACAAUCUAGGCCCUCUGUGGGGGACCAAGCACGUGAAGGUCUUCCUGACUCUCAUCUCCACUCAUCACGGAAAGGCUGAAAGAGGAAGGGCUCUUCUCCUCUGAGGCAGGAGAGAAGACUAACAAGGGAGGACUUGGGGUGGCUGGAGGAAAGGCCCAGGGUCCCCCAUCAGGUUUCGUCAUUGUCCUUGGCUUUCGUGACUUACUCCUCACACAAGCCCGGACUUGGUCCCGAGUGUCUGUCCGCUGGCUGAGGCUGGGUCUGCUCCCUUGAGGCCGGGCGCUAGAGGGGCUUGUUUCCUUCUGAAAGGGCCUUCUGGCCCUAAGAAAUGCACCUGUCACACCCGGUGACGAAGAGCUGCACUGCCCUUCCCCUCUGCUGGGGUCUGCGGGCUUCUACAUACACAAGCUCUUGCGCAACACACAGCUCCUCAUCAUUGGAAACGGCUUAAUUUCCGCACAAAGACAACAUUUUGCCAGUCAUGUGUUUAUCCUUCCCAGCCCAAACAGCAUGAUAUUUAAUUUCCAUCAUACAUUAAAACAGCCCACAUCAAAAACACACAUAAUUAAUAUGUAGUCAGACUAAUACUUAAAUACUAUAUAUCAGAGGCAUUACACUUAAACCACAAUGUCUUCCUGAACAAGAUUGGGAAUGCACAAAACUACUUAUUUUUCCCUUUUAUAAUGAUGCAGUGACUCACACCAAAUAGAAAAUUAUUAGUUUUUCAUCCCAAACCAUGAAAUAUUGCCUCCAUCAGUAAAGUAUAAUAUUGUGAUGUCAUAAGCUUUUUCUAAACACUGAAUUUGCCCUUAUUCCCUCUCAAUCAUUUUAAAAGAACUGCUCUCUUUUAUAGAGCUUGGAUUUAAAUCACAAUAACGCCGAGGGAAGAUGAAUGACAGUGCUAUUGAAUGUGGCUAAAAUUGGAUACUUCAGCACAGGUGGAGGGUGCUGGUUCUGCACUGAAUCCCUGAAGGGACGAUGACCAUGUACGCCAGUGGGGAGCAGAAAGAGUUGCAGCUUGGAAUUCCAUAGGAAACGGGCUCGGCCUGGCGUACAGUUUCUCCCUCCCCGCCCAUGGGCCAUCUCCUGUGGACAUUCCUGCAAUCACACUUACCUUCUCGUUGAGCAGGAUG
Long non-coding RNA from Mustela erminea (ermine), 1369 nucleotides. RefSeq lists it as uncharacterized. The transcript has 3 exons. The record is from RefSeq and is a predicted model, not a curated record. Lineage: Eukaryota; Metazoa; Chordata; Mammalia; Carnivora; Mustelidae.